This 838-nucleotide long non-coding RNA is filed under the name Homo sapiens (human). RNAcentral's name for it is "HSALNT0205238". The record is from RNAcentral. Lineage: Eukaryota; Metazoa; Chordata; Mammalia; Primates; Hominidae.
GCUGUUCCCGUUUGCAACCUCAGAUUUUAGUCCAAGUCCCAGAAUGGUUGUAUCAUUUCCUUCCAGCAAAACGAAAAGAGGACAUGUUAUGUAAAAUUAGAAUUCUUGUUUGAAAGCACUUAGUGAAAGCUGUUGCAGGCUGGAUUUGACUAGAAAAGCAAAACCACUACAACUAUUACGGAAAUAAGGAGUUUUGUGUAGAAUUAGGCUUUCCACCAGUGUGGAGGAAGCUGAAAUUCUAAAGAACCAGAAGACUUCAGCCAGAAUCAGAUGCUGUAACAGUAUGCUUAGUCCAAUAGCAGGACAUCAUGCAGUGGAGGAAGGAAACGAUACAGCUUGGGGAAGGCUGCAAACCCCAUGGCCAGAAGUCCCUGGCAGCAUGCCACGUCCCUCUGCCCUGACACUGAACAUCUAGAUUUUGAAAAGUCUAUCAAUGGUGCCAAGUUGACCGCAACCAACCAAGUCAUUUGACACUAUAUCAAAGCUUGAAGUGAAAACUUUUAAUUUCCAACAUUAUCUAGUCUUUUCACAGAACAUGAAGGGGUGGACAUUUUGGCCUGCAGGACAGGCAAAUAUUGGACCUUAAUCCUUUUAAUUUAAAGCUUUUUAUAGCUUUUUAUCCCUCCUUCAAAAUAAAAACUUCCUGUGAUGCAUAUUCUUGAAAUAUGAGUUGGCUAUAACAUAUUCAAUUAGGAAACUUAGAGGAGAUUUCAAUUUAGGAAAUGAAAAAUGUGAAUGGAAGAGCAUGGGCCCAUUGAAUAAAGAGCAGGGAGGAACUGAGACAGAGAUCCUUGAAAACCGAUUUCAUCUACUUUACAAUAAUGUUUGAAACGAGUCC